This 2439-nucleotide long non-coding RNA is filed under the name Homo sapiens (human). RNAcentral's name for it is "non-protein coding lnc-CEP350-3:5". The record is from RNAcentral. Lineage: Eukaryota; Metazoa; Chordata; Mammalia; Primates; Hominidae.
CAUUACGCCUAAGCCCUAUCUAAAAGUUGUAUAUAACUCAUCUGGGUUUAGCAAUGCUAUGAAUAAGGAAAAACAAAGAGGACCAAUCUACGCCGUGGAAGGGAAAUGCACUUCUCUGAUAGAGACAGUGAUCAUUACAGGUCCUCAAGGGAAAGGUGGAAUAUCAAGGGAAAAGACUGGGAAGCUGUGAGGUCUUUCCACAGUGAUAUUUGGCAUUUGCAUUUUCUAAAAAUAGCUAGCAAGUAUUCUUCCAUCUUUUUCUGUUGCCUAAGAGGGUAUUAUAAUUCAGAUAAAAGAUGGCUAUGGAUGUACGAACAAGAUGGAUAAGAAAAAUAUUCGAGAAUUAGAACUGACCAGAUUUGAUUGACUGUAGAAGUGCUGAAAAUUUCUCUUUCUUCUGUUUAGCUCAUAUAUCUUCUCCCCAGAUACUAAGCAUAAAGUGAUAGACUAAAUUCCUAUCUCUGCAUGUCAAUAUGUUGACUUUUAGUUUGAAGUAGAGCCACACAUAUUUGGUCAGAAAUUGAUUGUAGAGAAUAAAAACCCUGUCCAACCAGGAAAUGAGCAAAAGAGGGCUGGGGUGAAGAUUGCAAGAAUAUACAUCUCAGACUCCAGGAAAAGGAAAAUACAGGAACUGUGAAGACUGUUUUCAUUUGGAGACCAGCAGCCAUUCCCUCUGUCUCUCUAUUGCUGCUACCCAAUUAGCAACUUCCCCUUUGUGACUUAAAUGCCAAAAAGAUGACAUUAAUGGCUCAAUUCAGUGUAUGAAGGAUUCCUGAGAAGAAUAUAUGAUAAAGCAUAGCUUCCUAGGUCACCCUUUUAACAGGGACCAGGAGUUUGGGUUGUGGUAGGGCUGUGUCCUGAGGUCAGGCCAAGAAGUGGGCUGAUAUGUUAAAGGACAACUGAAUACUUCUUCAACUAUAUAAAGACCUUCUAUAUGUAAUGCCAUGCUAUGUCAUUAAUGGCAUUUCAUUUUAGCUUUUUAAAAAACCCAACGAAGGGAAAUUCAAGGUAAUGGAAACAUUUUAAGUUUUAAAAUCUGAGUCCUGGUCAUGGGUCUACUACAAAUGUGAUUUCUUCCCAUUGCUUCUGUUUCUCUAGGCUAAACCAGGAAGAUAGUUGUCAAAACUUCGGGUACUAUUUUAACAUACAUCAGCACUUGUUAAUUUGCUGUAAUUCCCUCAAUAGAACACCAAGCUUUAGUUUUCAGUAUGUUUCUUGGGCAAGUGAGGUGGUAGGUGGCCAUGUACUAGAUCAAACUUGAUUUUCUAGGGAUUGUUUUCCCACUUUUAGAGAAUACCAUUCUUAGGCUAAACUCAAUUACAGAAUCUACUGCAUGCUAUACAGCCCUCUAUAGAAAUAUUCACCCUGAGUAGUUAAUUAUGUUUCUUAAUGGGUAAAUGUUUUAUCUAGUCCCUCUUUUUUUUUAAUUUGAUAAAAUCCAGAUCUCUCAGAGCUUAAAUACACUUCCUCUUAUUUUCCCUACAACAAAUAUGGAAAAGAUCUAUAAUAUAUAUUUGAAUAUGUAUUAAGUUGUUCCUCACCCUUUUCUAUUUUUUAUUAGCUAUUGAGUGUUUAUUAAUGCUUCAAACACUUCCAAGUGCUUUAUGUAUAUUAACUGAUUUAAUUCUUAAGUUACUCUAUGAGAUGGUAUUAUUAUCCCAACUUAAUAGGAAACUGAAGCACAGUGAGCUAAAGUAACUCUCGAAGUGGUGGAGCAGAGAGAUGAACCCAGGCAGUCUGACUUUAGAACAUCUAUGCUUACCACUAUGAUGUUCUCAAGGACCCCAUUCUGAAUAUAGGAAUAAACAAAUUCAGUUUCUCCCACUUUAAUCUCACAACACCCUUCUGACUCCAGAUGUGUGUGGAGGGGGGUUCCCCACGCAUUAAGCAAAUAAGCAAUUUUGCAGCAGACACCAGCUGGGUGUCCUCUAAUUCAAUUCACUUCUUACACUACCUGGAGAUAGCAUCAGAUACCAUAGGUUGAAGGCUCAGUGCCACAAGAUGGCUCCCACUUCAGAUGACAAUCAGAAGCCCCAGAUGGUGACCAAGGGUCCUAACCAACUAGCUAUAAGUUAGGGUUCCCAUAACCCCUUCUUGAGCUCCAUUAGUUUGCUAGAGAGGCUCACAGAACUCGGAAACACUAUACAGUCAUGCUGUACAUAAUGACAUUUCAAUGUCAGCCUGCAUAGACAAUGGUGAUCCCAUAAGAUUAUAAUACUGUAUUUUUACUGUACCUUUUCUAUGUUUAGGUAUGUUUAGAUAGACAAAUAGUCAAUCCUUGAACAACUUGGGUUUGAACUGUGUGGGUCCAUUUAUACAUGGAUUUUUUUUCAAUAAAUGUAUUGGAAAAUUUUUUGGAGAUUUGCAACAAUUUGAAAAACCAGAUGAACCUCAUAGACUAGAAAUAUCAAAAAAAAUAAAGGUAUGUGAAGAGUACAU